UUGAAAUAUUAUAAUUACUCUUCCGUGUUAUCGACUGCGACUGCGUAACGACCUUUUUCGAGUGUACGACGCAUUAAAAACAUUGGGCACUCGAGAUCAACUACCGGUGAAAACCGACCCGCUGGAUCACUUUCUUAUGUCAAUGAAAUUAUACCGGUAGACACAGAUAAAGGAGUUCGGAAAUUCGCUUCGUCUUCAAACGGGAU
This is a non-coding RNA of Cinara cedri, 206 nucleotides long. The record is from the annotation of a GenBank genome assembly. Lineage: Eukaryota; Metazoa; Arthropoda; Insecta; Hemiptera; Aphididae.